RNAcentral lists this unclassified non-coding RNA (315 nucleotides) under fungal sp. RNAcentral's name for it is "partial internal transcribed spacer region". The stretch from base 1 to 46 matches the Rfam family "Eukaryotic small subunit ribosomal RNA", at positions 1786 to 1831 of the family's 1831-position model. Lineage: Eukaryota; Fungi. The record is from RNAcentral.
AAGUCGUAACAAGGUUUCCGUAGGUGAACCUGCGGAAGGAUCAUUACAAAUCUUUUAUGAAAAAAGGAUAAGAAAAAGGAGAAAAGAGGGUAUAAAGAGGGGAGAGAAGAAAAAUAGGAGAGGGUGGUAAAUAGUAAUUUUAUCCCGAACCUAUUUUUAUUUAAUCUCUCUUUUACUUAAUUUCUCUUUAAUUAUCCACAUAUGUGCUUCAGGAAUUCAUUUCCUGAUAGACAUUUACGCUUGUUAGGGUUUGACAGAGUUUUAUUUUUUGAUGAUAAUAAAUGACAACUUUUAACAAUGGAUCUCUUGGCUCUU